UGGGGAAUAUUGGACAAUGGGCGCAAGCCUGAUCCAGCAAUACCGCGUGUGUGAUGAAGGCCUUCGGGUUGUAAAGCACUUUCAGUAGAGAAGAAAGGCUCAAGGUUAAUACCCUUGAGAGUUGACGUAACCUACAGAAGAAGCACCGGCUAACUCUGUGCCAGCAGCCGCGGUAAUACAGAGGGUGCAAGCGUUAAUCGGAAUUACUGGGCGUAAAGAGCGCGUAGGUGGAUGUUUAAGUCGGAUGUGAAAGCCCCGGGCUCAACCUGGGAACUGCAUUCGAUACUGGGCAUCUUGAGUAUGGUAGAGGGAAGUGGAAUUUCCGGAGUAGCGGUGAAAUGCGUAGAUAUCGGAAGGAACACCAGUGGCGAAGGCGACUUCCUGGACCAAUACUGACACUGAGGCGCGAAAGCGUGGGGAGCAAACAGGAUUAGAUACCCCCGUAGUCC
Molecule: ribosomal RNA, 449 nt
Filed under: uncultured prokaryote
Description: bacterial SSU rRNA
Rfam family: Bacterial small subunit ribosomal RNA
Source: RNAcentral